AAUACUUGUUGCUUUGAGUUUUUAUUUGUAACGUUUGAUCAUUCGUCUUAUUCAAAAAAUUAUGGAAUUAUUAUUUAUUUUUUUAACUUGUUUAUUAUCAAAAGUAUUUAAGUAUGACUUAUCUUUUUUUAUAUUUACACUAAUUUUUCAAAUAAGACGAAUGGUCAAAAAUUGCAAGCAGAAAGUCAAAGCGACAUCUAUU
RNAcentral lists this microRNA precursor (202 nucleotides) under Oryza sativa Indica Group (long-grained rice). RNAcentral describes it as "MIR812 microRNA precursor family". It matches the Rfam family "MIR812 microRNA precursor family". Lineage: Eukaryota; Viridiplantae; Streptophyta; Magnoliopsida; Poales; Poaceae. The record is from Rfam by way of RNAcentral.